AGGCACUGUGAGAACACAGGGUGGAAAUGGGUACCCAGGUGAUGACAGCUGAACAGAGCUCAGGCUCCAGCCACAUGGCUGCUGCAGCUAAAACGCUCUGGGGAGCCUCUAGCCUCCACAGCUCAGUGUGGACUCGGCCACUUACUAGUGUGAGAAAUAGAACUGGCAAUUAAACCAACACUGCAAACAGAUACGAUUCUGUAAGAAACAUUUAAUGUGAACUCUUAAGUAAAACUUGUAUCUUUCUCUCUGAUCAUACAGGUGGGACAUAGUCCCCAGUGGAAAAUCUGGGAAACAAUGAAAAAUACAAAGAAUAAAAUGAAAAUGACCAAUAACCUCAGGAGUAAUCAUCAACACUUGGGGGUUUAUAGGCAUUUUCCUAUGCGUGGAAGCAUGUAUUAGGAAUAUAUGCUGACUUUGAAGAAAGUAAUUGUAAUUUUCACAUGUGGUGGCUAAAUUCCUCAACAGAGAGUGGGUGGCAGCCUCGUACCAUACCUUGCAUUGCUGGGAGGGUCAUACUGCAAAACCCAGUUGACUUCAGGAAUAUCAAUUCCCCGGGCCAUCACAUCAGUGCACACUAAAAUCCCACUAGGAAAUGAGAAAAAAGCAUUCUGAGUAAGGAGGCCACCAUCUUCAUCACCAUCAAACAGCCUACUGAUCUCGAUGACAGUGACACACAGGUGCUGGAGCUUCUCACAGAAGCAAAUGUUUAAGAUCAACACAUUUAUCUCUGGAGAAAAGGGGAAAAGAACCAACCAGUCCAAAGAACAUAUGCAUCUGUCCCUACGCUGCCUUCUGACCACAGGACAAAACCCCACUGUGGCGGACUCCAUGGGUGGCUGAUAAACACUAUUCCCAACCACUUCUUGCUUCACUGGCCACUACUACAGAGGCAGAAAAGCUGCGCACUCAUUUUCUCUGCUGCUCUUGAAGUGAGGGGCCACCACGUGACCCACUUUUGGCCCCUAAGAUGAAUUCACAGCUGAAGUCAACUAGGGCAGAGGGGUUUCUGAAGAAGCUCUUUGCUCUCCUGAUUAAAAGGCAUGGAUAUAGCUAACAUUGCCCUAAGCCCCCUCUGCCUUUCCCCCCUUAUCUUUCUUCAGUGGAGACAUGACAGGGUGUAAUAGUGGUCAUCCAGAAUCCAUGAGGUGACACAUAGGAAGAGAAGACCAAUCACAUCAACAUUGACCUUGACAUGACUGACACAUGAAACCCAUGUGAGAAACUGCCUGCCUUUGGACGACUUUUUACGGGAGAAAAAUAAAGCCAACCUUGUUCGGACAACAAAAGUUGGGUUUUCAGUUAUUUGCAGCCAAAAGCAUUCCGGAGAGAACCAUGCUAGAUGGAAUCCAAAACCCAAAGGCCGCAUGCACCUGCACAUUCUGGCUGAAUCCCUGAUGCCUCUACCACAGAGACCAGAGGAGUACCUGAAGAAGACCAGGUGUUUCUCCUGCUUAUGAUUGCGAAGAAAAUGGACCAGCUGAUUAAAUUUCUCAUCUGCCUUGCAUACCUGCAAAAUAAAAAGGGAAACUAAUAAAAAACAUAUUUGGCAAUAAUAA
Homo sapiens (human) is the source of this 1559-nucleotide long non-coding RNA. RefSeq lists it as uncharacterized. Lineage: Eukaryota; Metazoa; Chordata; Mammalia; Primates; Hominidae. The record is from RefSeq and is a predicted model, not a curated record. The transcript has 3 exons.